This 86-nucleotide transfer RNA is filed under the name Paludibacteraceae bacterium. Its description in RNAcentral is "tRNA-Ser". It matches the Rfam family "tRNA". From Rfam's summary of the family: Transfer RNA (tRNA) molecules are approximately 80 nucleotides in length. Lineage: Bacteria; Pseudomonadati; Bacteroidota; Bacteroidia; Bacteroidales; Paludibacteraceae. The record is from RNAcentral.
GCCGUCGUGUCAGAGUCUGGUUUAUCGUGCUUGUCUUGAAAACAAGUGAGUAUAAUGCUCCGAAGGUUCAAAUCCUUCCGGCGGCG